GAUGAACGCUGGCGGCGUGCCUAAUACAUGCCAGUCGAGCGAACGGACGAGAAGCUUGCUUCUCUGAUGUUAGCGGCGGACGGGUGAGUAACACGUGGAUAACCUACCUAUAAGACUGGGAUAACUUCGGGAAACCGGAGCUAAUACCGGAUGAUAUUUUGAACCGCAUGGUUCAAAAGUGAAAGACGGUCUUGCUGUCACUUAUAGAUGGAUCCGCGCUGCAUUAGCUAGUUGGUAAGGUAACGGCUUACCAAGGCAACGAUGCAUAGCCGACCUGAGAGGGUGAUCGGCCACACUGGAACUGAGACACGGUCCAGACUCCUACGGGAGGCAGCAGUAGGGAAUCUUCCGCAAUGGGCGAAAGCCUGACGGAGCAACGCCGCGUGAGUGAUGAAGGUCUUCGGAUCGUAAAACUCUGUUAAUAGGGAAGAACAUAUGUGUAAGUAACUGUGCACAUCUUGACGGUACCUAAUCAGAAAGCCACGGCUAACUACGUG
This 497-nucleotide ribosomal RNA is filed under the name uncultured bacterium. RNAcentral describes it as "partial 16S ribosomal RNA". It matches the Rfam family "Bacterial small subunit ribosomal RNA", at positions 28 to 507 of the family's 1533-position model. The record is from RNAcentral.